Molecule: long non-coding RNA, 316 nt
Organism: Miniopterus natalensis
Lineage: Eukaryota; Metazoa; Chordata; Mammalia; Chiroptera; Miniopteridae
Source: RefSeq, a predicted model, not a curated record
AAGAGCUGGAGGACCAGGAAACAGGACCGAAGGAUCAUGAACGGAAGUAAACAAGCUGCCCACGGCCGGGUUUAGGUCUAGGCUUGACCUCAACUUGCCCGUCCUAAAGCAGAAAUGGAAAUACGGUCGCAGACUAAAAUUCCUCACGGCAGCAGGACCAAGGCUUUUCCUUGUAAGCUUCCACCCUGCAUCGGUUUUGCUAUUUUUAAGAACAUGAGCUGAGCCCACAAAGGUGAGCGAACCAAGUGUUAUUAAACCAACACAGGAUUCUGAGUUAGCUGUGCCACCCCCUGCCUGGGCAUCGCCGCCUCCGCCC